UCCAGCGCACUCACCUAUCCACUAAACAGCAACUUCAAAGUUGAAAGAUUUCAUUUGUUUUUUUUAAAAACACCUAAUCUAGGCAAAAAUAAUUUUUUUUGCCUAGAUUAGGUGUUUUUAAAAAAAACAAAUGAAAUCUUUCAACUUUGAAGUUGCUGUUUAGUGGAUAGGUGAGUGCGCUGGA
Non-coding RNA from Pelobates cultripes (western spadefoot toad), 184 nucleotides. Lineage: Eukaryota; Metazoa; Chordata; Amphibia; Anura; Pelobatidae. The record is from the annotation of a GenBank genome assembly.